This 495-nucleotide ribosomal RNA is filed under the name uncultured bacterium. RNAcentral describes it as "bacterial SSU rRNA". It matches the Rfam family "Bacterial small subunit ribosomal RNA", at positions 28 to 524 of the family's 1533-position model. The record is from RNAcentral.
GAUGAACGCUAGCGGCAGGCUUAACACAUGCAAGUCGAGGGGUAUUGGUUUUCGGACCAAGAGACCGGCGCACGGGUGCGUAACGCGUAUGCAAUCUACCUUUUGCAGAGGGAUAGCCCAGAGAAAUUUGGAUUAAUACCUCAUAGUAUAGUACUUUGGCAUCAAGGAACUAUUAAAGUCACAACGGCAAAAGAUGAGCAUGCGUCCCAUUAGCUAGUUGGUAAGGUAACGGCUUACCAAGACAAUGAUGGGUAGGGGUCCUGAGAGGGAGAUCCCCCACACUGGUACUGAGACACGGACCAGACUCCUACGGGAGGCAGCAGUGAGGAAUAUUGGUCAAUGGGCGCAAGCCUGAACCAGCCAUGCCGCGUGCAGGAAGACGGUCCUAUGGAUUGUAAACUGCUUUUAUACAGGAAGAAACCCUCCCACGUGUGGGAGCUUGACGGUACUGUAGGAAUAAGGAUCGGCUAACUUCGUGCCAGCAGCCGCGGUAAA